GACGGAGGAGGCUAACGUUGUCCGGAAUUAUUGGGCGUAAAGAGCACGUAGGCGGUUCUAUAAGUCGUGUGUGAAAACUUUGGGCUUAACUCAAAGAUUGCAUUCGAUACUGUGGAGCUUGAGUACAGUAGAGGAAAGUGGAAUUCCUGGUGUAGCGGUGAAAUGCGCAGAUAUCAGGAAGAACACCAGUGGCGAAGGCGGCUUUCUGGACUGUUACUGACGCUGAGGUGCGAAAGCUAGGGGAGCGAAC
Molecule: ribosomal RNA, 250 nt
Filed under: uncultured bacterium
Lineage: Bacteria
Description: partial 16S ribosomal RNA
Rfam family: Bacterial small subunit ribosomal RNA
Source: RNAcentral